GGGUUGUGAGGUUAAGCGACUAAGCGUACACGGUGGAUGCCCUGGCAGUCAGAGGCGAUGAAGGACGUGCUAAUCUGCGAUAAGCGUCGGUAAGGUGAUAUGAACCGUUAUAACCGGCGAUUUCCGAAUGGGGAAACCCAGUGUGUUUCGACACACUAUCAUUAACUGAAUCCAUAGGUUAAUGAGGCGAACCGGGGGAACUGAAACAUCUAAGUACCCCGAGGAAAAGAAAUCAACCGAGAUUCCCCCAGUAGCGGCGAGCGAACGGGGAGCAGCCCAGAGCCUGAAUCAGUGUGUGUGUUAGUGGAAGCGUCUGGAAAGGCGCGCGAUACAGGGUGACAGCCCCGUACACAAAAAUGCACAUGCUGUGAGCUCGAUGAGUAGGGCGGGACACGUGGUAUCCUGUCUGAAUAUGGGGGGACCAUCCUCCAAGGCUAAAUACUCCUGACUGACCGAUAGUGAACCAGUACCGUGAGGGAAAGGCGAAAAGAACCCCGGCGAGGGGAGUGAAAAAGAACCUGAAACCGUGUACGUACAAGCAGUGGGAGCACGCUUAGGCGUGUGACUGCGUACCUUUUGUAUAAUGGGUCAGCGACUUAUAUUCUGUAGCAAGGUUAACCGAAUAGGGGAGCCGAAGGGAAACCGAGUCUUAACUGGGCGUUAAGUUGCAGGGUAUAGACCCGAAACCCGGUGAUCUAGCCAUGGGCAGGUUGAAGGUUGGGUAACACUAACUGGAGGACCGAACCGACUAAUGUUGAAAAAUUAGCGGAUGACUUGUGGCUGGGGGUGAAAGGCCAAUCAAACCGGGAGAUAGCUGGUUCUCCCCGAAAGCUAUUUAGGUAGCGCCUCGUGAAUUCAUCUCCGGGGGUAGAGCACUGUUUCGGCAAGGGGGUCAUCCCGACUUACCAACCCGAUGCAAACUGCGAAUACCGGAGAAUGUUAUCACGGGAGACACACGGCGGGUGCUAACGUCCGUCGUGAAGAGGGAAACAACCCAGACCGCCAGCUAAGGUCCCAAAGUCAUGGUUAAGUGGGAAACGAUGUGGGAAGGCCCAGACAGCCAGGAUGUUGGCUUAGAAGCAGCCAUCAUUUAAAGAAAGCGUAAUAGCUCACUGGUCGAGUCGGCCUGCGCGGAAGAUGUAACGGGGCUAAACCAUGCACCGAAGCUGCGGCAGCGACGCUUAUGCGUUGUUGGGUAGGGGAGCGUUCUGUAAGCCUGUGAAGGUGUGCUGUGAGGCAUGCUGGAGGUAUCAGAAGUGCGAAUGCUGACAUAAGUAACGAUAAAGCGGGUGAAAAGCCCGCUCGCCGGAAGACCAAGGGUUCCUGUCCAACGUUAAUCGGGGCAGGGUGAGUCGACCCCUAAGGCGAGGCCGAAAGGCGUAGUCGAUGGGAAACAGGUUAAUAUUCCUGUACUUGGUGUUACUGCGAAGGGGGGACGGAGAAGGCUAUGUUGGCCGGGCGACGGUUGUCCCGGUUUAAGCGUGUAGGCUGGUUUUCCAGGCAAAUCCGGAAAAUCAAGGCUGAGGCGUGAUGACGAGGCACUACGGUGCUGAAGCAACAAAUGCCCUGCUUCCAGGAAAAGCCUCUAAGCAUCAGGUAACAUCAAAUCGUACCCCAAACCGACACAGGUGGUCAGGUAGAGAAUACCAAGGCGCUUGAGAGAACUCGGGUGAAGGAACUAGGCAAAAUGGUGCCGUAACUUCGGGAGAAGGCACGCUGAUAUGUAGGUGAAGUCCCUCGCGGAUGGAGCUGAAAUCAGUCGAAGAUACCAGCUGGCUGCAACUGUUUAUUAAAAACACAGCACUGUGCAAACACGAAAGUGGACGUAUACGGUGUGACGCCUGCCCGGUGCCGGAAGGUUAAUUGAUGGGGUUAGCGGUAACGCGAAGCUCUUGAUCGAAGCCCCGGUAAACGGCGGCCGUAACUAUAACGGUCCUAAGGUAGCGAAAUUCCUUGUCGGGUAAGUUCCGACCUGCACGAAUGGCGUAAUGAUGGCCAGGCUGUCUCCACCCGAGACUCAGUGAAAUUGAACUCGCUGUGAAGAUGCAGUGUACCCGCGGCAAGACGGAAAGACCCCGUGAACCUUUACUAUAGCUUGACACUGAACAUUGAGCCUUGAUGUGUAGGAUAGGUGGGAGGCUUUGAAGUGUGGACGCCAGUCUGCAUGGAGCCGACCUUGAAAUACCACCCUUUAAUGUUUGAUGUUCUAACGUUGACCCGUAAUCCGGGUUGCGGACAGUGUCUGGUGGGUAGUUUGACUGGGGCGGUCUCCUCCUAAAGAGUAACGGAGGAGCACGAAGGUUGGCUAAUCCUGGUCGGACAUCAGGAGGUUAGUGCAAUGGCAUAAGCCAGCUUGACUGCGAGCGUGACGGCGCGAGCAGGUGCGAAAGCAGGUCAUAGUGAUCCGGUGGUUCUGAAUGGAAGGGCCAUCGCUCAACGGAUAAAAGGUACUCCGGGGAUAACAGGCUGAUACCGCCCAAGAGUUCAUAUCGACGGCGGUGUUUGGCACCUCGAUGUCGGCUCAUCACAUCCUGGGGCUGAAGUAGGUCCCAAGGGUAUGGCUGUUCGCCAUUUAAAGUGGUACGCGAGCUGGGUUUAGAACGUCGUGAGACAGUUCGGUCCCUAUCUGCCGUGGGCGCUGGAGAACUGAGGGGGGCUGCUCCUAGUACGAGAGGACCGGAGUGGACGCAUCACUGGUGUUCGGGUUGUCAUGCCAAUGGCACUGCCCGGUAGCUAAAUGCGGAAGAGAUAAGUGCUGAAAGCAUCUAAGCACGAAACUUGCCCCGAGAUGAGUUCUCCCUGACCCUUUAAGGGUCCUGAAGGAACGUUGAAGACGACGACGUUGAUAGGCCGGGUGUGUAAGCGCAGCGAUGCGUUGAGCUAACCGGUACUAAUGAACCGUGAGGCUUAACCUUACAACGCCGAAGGUGUUU
This 2933-nucleotide ribosomal RNA is filed under the name Escherichia coli. RNAcentral's name for it is "bacterial LSU rRNA". It matches the Rfam family "Bacterial large subunit ribosomal RNA". The record is from RNAcentral. Lineage: Bacteria; Pseudomonadati; Pseudomonadota; Gammaproteobacteria; Enterobacterales; Enterobacteriaceae.